GGGGGCGGGGCGAGAGCGCUAGGGCUUCUUACGGGGCGAGGAGAGGACUUGUGAAAAAGAAAGGGUUUUUCUGAAGGGAUAAGAGGGAGAGAGAGAAAGAGAGGUGUUAAGGGUGUGUUUGUUUUCUCGUAAAACCAUAUUGAAAAAAAAAAAUCAGUGAAAAGUAAGAUUUCCACGUUUGUUUGGUGUUUUUAUAAAUUCUCAAGAAAACGGGUAUUUUCGUAGAAAAAUCGCGGCGUUGGGAGAGGAAGGGGGAAGCGGAGGUGUGGCCCACGAGGCACAUCCUACCUCGUGGACGCCGGUGGACCUCUCUCUCUUCUCCCUCUUUUCUUUUAAGGAAAUUUCAUAAGAGAAAUUUCAUAGAUAAUCUUUUAGGUAUCGUUUGGUUCGGGUAUAAGCUAGAACUGCUUUUUCCAGGGAUGGGUACAAAUGUUGGAACUAGCUGGAACUAUUGUAUUUUUGUGUUUGGUUGAGUAUUAGGUUUGUACCAGGUAUAAGAAAAAUAGUGUUUGGAUGUAUAAGAUAGAAUAAGGUGAAUAAAUGUUGGUUAAAAGUUAAAAUUACGUUUUUACCCAUCGUG
Molecule: long non-coding RNA, 580 nt
Filed under: Ananas comosus (pineapple)
Lineage: Eukaryota; Viridiplantae; Streptophyta; Magnoliopsida; Poales; Bromeliaceae
Description: long non-coding RNA (ACOM_LNC005914)
Source: RNAcentral